Molecule: small RNA, 148 nt
Filed under: Pongo abelii (Sumatran orangutan)
Lineage: Eukaryota; Metazoa; Chordata; Mammalia; Primates; Hominidae
Description: Metazoan signal recognition particle RNA (ENSPPYG00000034996.1)
Source: Rfam by way of RNAcentral
GCCGGGCGUGAUGGCACGCGCCUGUAGUCCCAGCUACUCGGGAGGCUGAGGCAGAAGAAUCGCUCGAACCCAGGAGGCGCAGGAUGCAGUGAGCAGACGUCGUGCCACUGCACUCCAGCCUGGGAAACAGAUCGAGACUCUGUCUCAA